This is an RNA transcript of Theobroma cacao (cacao), 2203 nucleotides long. It is a transcript of the gene named RNA-binding (RRM/RBD/RNP motifs) family protein, with no coding region annotated. The record is from RefSeq and is a predicted model, not a curated record. NCBI's taxonomy places the organism in Eukaryota, Viridiplantae, Streptophyta, Magnoliopsida, Malvales, Malvaceae.
CCCCCCUUCCCUGCUUUAUUCCUCCCCCACUCUUCACCCGCAAUUUCUCUCUCAAACCCCAAAUUCGCCCACGAACCCUUCUCUUCUUCUUCUUCCCCAAAUCCCAAACCCCAAAAACCCUACCCAAAAAAAGAUUUAAGAUUCAUUUGUUUUUUCAGAUUUUGAAGAACAGAAGAGAGGAAAGAAGAAGAAGAAGAAGAGGUAAAGGGGGGGAUGGAUUCAGAUCAGGGAAAGUUGUUUAUUGGAGGGAUAUCAUGGGAAACAAGCGAGGACAAGUUAGGGGAAUACUUUGGCCAAUAUGGAAACGUUUUGCAGACCGUGGUUAUGAGAGAUAAGGUUACCGGAAGACCCCGGGGGUUUGGAUUCGUUGUCUUCUCAGAUCCGUCCGUUCUCGAUACUGUUCUUCAAGAAAAACACACCAUCGAUGGUAGAACGGUUGAGGCAAAGAGGGCGUUAUCAAGAGAGGAGCAGCAAACAUCUGCUAGAUCUGGAAAUCUUAAUCAGGGUAGAAAUUCAGGAAGUGGUGGAAAUAUUAGGACCAAGAAGAUUUUUGUUGGAGGGUUGCCUCCUACCUUAACUGAAGAUGGGUUUCGCCAAUACUUUGAGGCAUAUGGUCAUGUAAUUGAUGUAGUAAUCAUGUAUGACCAGAAUACUCAGCGGCCUCGUGGAUUUGGUUUUAUCUCCUUUGAUGCUGAGGAUGCAGUUGAUAGGGUUUUGCACAAGAGUUUUCAUGAUUUGAAUGGCAAGCAAGUUGAAGUGAAGCGAGCCCUCCCUAAAGAUGCCAAUCCUGGUGGGCUUAGCCGAACUAUGAGUGGUGGUGCUGGUGGUGGUGGAGGUUACCAGGGCUAUGGUGCUUCUGGUGGGAACGCGAGUUCUUAUGAUGGUCGUAUGGACUCCAAUAGGUACAUGCAGCCCCAGAGUACUGGAGCUGGCUUUCCACCUUAUGGCUCGUCGGGAUAUAGUGCACCUGGUUAUGGUUAUGGUCCGGCUAAUAAUGGUGUUGGUUAUGGUGGUUAUGGCAAUUAUGGUGGUGCUGGUGCUGGUUAUGGUGGCCCUGCAGGCGCAGCUUAUGGGAACCCCAAUGCUGGUUAUGCAGGUGGCCCACCUGGUGCCCCUAGAAGCUCAUGGGGUACUCAAACUCCUUCUGGUUAUGGUACUAUGGGUUAUGGGAGUGCUGCUCCUUGGGGUGCCCCAGGUGGUGGUGCUGGUAGUGGUGGUCCAGGUUCUGCAGGUACCGGCCAAUCUCCCACUGGAGCAACAGGGUACGGGAGUCAAGGUUAUGGAUAUGGUGGGUAUGGUGGAAAUGAUGGAUCUUAUGGGAAUGCUGGGUAUGGGGCUGUUGGAGGUCGUUCCAGUGGUACUCCAAAUAGUAAUGCUUCUGGUCCAGGUGGAGGAGAUCUACAAGGGAGUGGUGGUGGCUACAUGGGAAGUGGAUAUAGUGAUGCAAAUGGAAAUUCAGGUUACGGAAAUGCAUCAUGGAGGUCUGAUUCAUCACAAGGUUCUGGAAAUUAUGGGGGCACGCAGGCAAAUGGGCCUCAUGGUGGACAAGCCAGUUAUGGUGGUGGGUACAGUGGUGCUCAGGGCCGACAAGCCCAACAACAGUGAUUCAAUCACUGGAAAGACAACUGGAUCUCAACCUCUUUUGUGGAUAGCGUUCUCUCUGCUCUUGUGGUUUUGAUGGUUUCUUAUUUUCAGCAGCAACGGGAGAGGCUCAAGUUGGAUGUCAAAUCACCCUGGGACCGGAGGAGAGAUGCUCGAGAGUUCAAAGGUGGAGUGAAAGUGUCCACUCAUGGCUGAACCCGAGCUUCAUGGUGGGGGUUGUUCAGUGUGGGGUUUAUUCAGCAGAGGAUUGCUCGGUUGAAAUUUUGAUUAACCUGAGAGAGACCCUUCCCCAUCCAGUUGCUGCCGACUCUGCAAAUUCCUGGCUUUUGAAGUCAAAAAGUUCCUGAUCUUCAUUCGGGAUUCUGUGGGGGAUUUAUUCAACAUGGAAUUGAAUUUUUGAAGCAAACAGCCUGGGGUAUGUUGACACAAAGCUGGUAGCCAGAUCAAGAUCUCAUUGUUCCCUAAUUAUCUAGGUGUGCCUUUUGAUUCUUUGGAGUAGAUCUUACUGUGUGAUUUCUGAUUAUUUGAUAGAGAGCAUCAGAAAAGUAUGUCCUUAAAAGUUCCCUUUAGUUUUGGAAUGAAUUAUUUGCCAAACAUUUAA